RNAcentral lists this ribosomal RNA (459 nucleotides) under uncultured bacterium. RNAcentral describes it as "partial 16S ribosomal RNA". It matches the Rfam family "Bacterial small subunit ribosomal RNA", at positions 338 to 795 of the family's 1533-position model. The record is from RNAcentral.
CCUACGGGAGGCAGCAGUGAGGAAUAUUGGUCAAUGGCCGGGAGGCUGAACCAGCCAAGUCGCGUGAGGGAAGACGGCCCUACGGGUUGUAAACCUCUUUUGUCAGGGAGCAAGGUGCAGGUCGGGACCUGCUGUGAGAGUACCUGAAGAAAAAGCAUCGGCUAACUCCUUGCCAGCAGCCGCGGUAAUACGGAGGAUGCGAGCGUUAUCCGGAUUUAUUGGGUUGAAAGGGUGCGCAGGCGGAGGCACAAGUCAGCGGUAAAAUCGCGGGGCUCAACCCCGCUCCGCCGUUGAAACUGUGUGCCUUGAGUGCGCGAAGGGUAGGCGGAAUGCGUGGUGUAGCGGUGAAAUGCAUAGAUAUCACGCAGAACUCCGAUCGCGAAGGCAGCCUACCGGCGCGCAACUGACGCUCAUGCACGAAAGCGUGGGUAUCGAACAGGAUUAGAUACCCGGGUAGUC